AGCAGUGGGAGAACUCGUGGCUGGGAGAGGAGAUCUUAUAAUUUCCAGCCUUGACAACACCAUCGCUCGUUCCAGAGCAAUACACUUUCUUGUAGCCAACGAGUUAAGCGGAGCCGUAAUGGUCAUGAAGCGGACCACAUCUGUUGACUCGACCUGGUCACGUUACGUUGAAGAAUUUUCAGGUGGAGUUUGGUUGAGCUGCGCUGCACUGACUGGUUUUUUGACCCUGUUUCUGUACGGAAUUAUUAAGAAAAGUCCGUUCGAGCCUAGCAAGAUACCGCUGCAAGAUACUUGGCUUCUUGUAAUUGGUGCUUUUGCCGCGCAAGGCUCGGAACGUGUAUACGCGGGUUUUUCCAGCCGUAUCGCAGUCAUUGUCACCUACAC
Long non-coding RNA from Hyalella azteca, 384 nucleotides. RefSeq lists it as uncharacterized. The record is from RefSeq and is a predicted model, not a curated record. NCBI's taxonomy places the organism in Eukaryota, Metazoa, Arthropoda, Malacostraca, Amphipoda, Hyalellidae. The transcript is spliced from 3 exons.